Molecule: ribosomal RNA, 527 nt
Filed under: Blastocystis hominis
Lineage: Eukaryota; Bigyra; Opalinata; Blastocystidae
Description: SSU rRNA
Rfam family: Eukaryotic small subunit ribosomal RNA
Source: RNAcentral
AUGUGUAGUAUAAAUAGUUUAACUUUGAAACUGCGAAUGGCUCAUUAUAUCAGUUAUAGUUUAUUUGAAGAAGAAUACUAAUUGGAUAACCGUAGUAAUUCUAGAGCUAAUACAUGUAUAAAGUCUUGUAGACUGCAUUUAUUAGAAUGAAAACCAUAGGUUUCGGCCUAUUCGUGAGUAAUAAUAACUAAUCAUAUCGUAUGCUUACGUAACGAUGUGUCUUUCAAGUUUCUGCCCUAUCAGCUUUCGAUGGUAGUGUAUUGGACUACCAUGGCAGUAACGGGUAACGAAGAAUUUGGGUUCGAUUUCGGAGAGGGAGCCUGAGAGAUGGCUACCACAUCCAAGGAAGGCAGCAGGCUCGUAAAUUACCCAAUCCUGACACAGGGAGGUAGUGACAAUAAAUCACAAUGCGGAACAAUGUUUUGCAAUUGGAUUGAGAACAACGUACAAACCUUAUCGAUAAACAAUUGGAGGGCAAGUCUGGUGCCAGCAGCCGCGGUAAUUCCAGCUCCAAUAGCGUAUAUUAA